UUUUUUUUUUUUUAAGAUUUUAUUUAUUUAUUCAUAGACACAGAGAGAGAGAGGCAGAGACACAGGCAGAGGGAGAAGCAGGCUCCAUGCAGGGAGCCCGAUGUGGGACUCGAUCCCGGGUCUCCAGGAUCACACCCCAGGCUGCAGGUGGUGAAACCGCUGCGCCACCGGGGCUAGCCUCAAGCUCUUUAAUACACCCAUGACUUCACAUGGUUAUCUUUUUGGUGUGUGGUGAGAACACUUAAGAACUACUCUCUAAGGAAAUUUCAAGUAUACAACACAGUGUUAUUCACUAUAGUCAGCAUGCUGUACUUUAAGGUCCCUAGAACUCAUUUGUCUUAUAACUGAAACGGCCAAUAGGUAGAUGACAAGGUUCUCGACAUCACUAAUUGUCAGGAAAACACAAAUUAUAACCACAAAGAGGUAUCACCUUACACCUGUUAGAGUGGCUGUCAUCAGAAAGACAAGAAGUCACAAGUAUUGGCAAUGGUGAGGAUGUGGAGUAAAGGGAACCCUUGUACACUGUUGGUAGGAAUAUAAAGUGGUACAGCCAUUAUGAAAAACAGUAUGCAGAUUCCUCGAGAAAUUAAAAAUAGAACUACCAUUUGAUUCAGCAGUUGCACUUCUGGGGUAUACAUCCAUAGGAAAUAAAAUCAGGAUUUUGAGGAGCUAUCUGUACUCCCAUGUUAGUUGCAACAUUACUCAAAAUAGCCAAGAUAUGUUAACACUGUGACCACUGACAGAUGAAUGGAUAAGGAGUAUGUCAUUCUCUCUCUCUCUCACACACACACAGGAAUAUUAUUCUGCCACGAAAAAGAGGGAAAUCCAUUUUCUUUUUUUCUUUUCUUUUUUUGGGGGGCGGAAUCCAUUUUCAACAACAUGGAUGAACCUGGAGGGUAUUAUGCUAAGUGAAAUAAGCCAGACACAGAAAGACAAAUACCAUCUGAUCUCACUUCUAUGUAGAACCUACAAAAGUCAAAGUCACAGAAGAGAGAGUAGAAUGGGGGGAAUGGAGAUGCUGAGAAAGGGAUAAACAGCUUUGAAAUGCACACAGCACACUGAUGUCCUAAGUGUCCUUCAACGUUACGAAGUGAUUUUCUUUAACCCUCCCAGUGGGUCCGUGGGUCUCAAUUUUACGCCCUCUCACUUGUCGUAGGAGCUCUGCCCCUCCUUACCUCUGUGAUUAUUUCAGGAGCACCUCUUGCUGAGAUUCUCUGAUGGUUAAGCAGGACUCUUCCAUCUAGUUUACCACUGAGAAAAAGAAAGCAAGGAAUUCAAGACCACUAAGUACCUGGCUCCUGGAGGAGAGUUGCUAGAAGGUUCUGACAGAAAACUGGGUCUUGAAUCUUGUAUGUUAGAUGUGACUCUGGAGCAGGAUUCCACACCCACACUUGACCUUGGGGAACAGUUCAUUGCUGUUUUAGCUUGGGUUGCUGUAACAAAAAUACCGAAGACUGCAUAGCUUAAACAACAGAAAAUUGUCGUUAUGGAGGCUGGGAAGUCUGAGAUCAGGGUGCCAGCCUGGGUGGGUUCCAGGGAGGGCCCUUCCUGGUUUACGGAUGGCCAUCUUCUCGCUAUGUCUUCAUGUGGUGGAGAGCAAGCUCUAGUCUCUUGCUCUUCUUAUAAGGACAUUAAUCCAUUCUGCGGGCUCUACCUUUAUGACCUUAUCUAAACCUAACUACCUCCCAAAAGCCCCAUCUCCUAUACCACCCCACUAGGGGGUUAGGAUUUCAACCUAAGAGUCUCAGCAGGGGGCACAAACAUGGAGUCCAUAACUACUGCUACUUGCCUACUUUUCCUGUCUUUUUUUGUUGUGAUUUUUGGAUAUAGGAGUCUGCAGUCAUUUUCUCACAUACCAGUCAUUUAUGUGACAAUGACCACACAAAAUAUCCUGCUGAGGUUCAUAAAUAAUUAAACAGAUAAUCCACGUUUUGACACUGUUAACAUAUAAAUGAUUUUUAAAAGUAGAAUAAAACUACACUUCAAGAAGACAAAUUGAAAAAUCAGUCACGAUAGAACGGAAGGCCAUCUAAUUCUGACAAAUUCUAAGGCCAUGUAGGUCUGUCUGCUGAAGGCUCACUGGCUUACAGAGAAAAAUACCUGGAGUCCAUCACAAGUAAAAAGCAGUCUAAUGCAGUUUGUUUUGUUUUUUUCUUCUAUUUGGAAAGUAUACAAAUAUACUUGAAUUAAAGCGCUUCCCGUUCCAUAGUCCAUUAAGGCAGGAACCCAGGUUUCCAAUUCAAUGGUACAUCUUUCUCUGGCUGAGAAAAAUGACAUGGACAAAAUGUGAUUUGAAAAGAGUAUUUACAUUUUUUUGUUUCAUUACAGUUCUUAAAAGUGAUAAUCCCCUCGUGCCAUUUACGCUGAAAUAACAGAAACUGGAAUAGCGAAGCCCCGCAGCAGUGAGCGACCGAGAAGCCCCGGGUGAUGCUAAGCGAGCCCCGGCCCUCAACGCCGUGCACGGUUGUUUCCACAGGAAGCAGCCUGCUGCGUGUGGACCCCAGCGGGAGUAUUCCACUAACUCCAACACUCCAUUGCCUGCGCUGCCAGGUACUUCACAGCUUCUGGAAAGCCACACUUCUUUCUACCACAAGGAAAAGUGAAAAUGGCGCACCCUAUCAUUCAUUCAUUCAUUUUCCGAGAAACGUGGGAAUCGGGAGCCCCGUCCUGCCGGCGCAGGGCUGAGGCAGCGAAGGUGGACGGGCGACCUCCUGAAGAUCACACGCGCCGUGGCCGUUCGGAUGCUCUUUAGGCUUUUAAGGAAGGUUUCAAGGAAGAUCAGAGACUGAUCCGCCAGCGCACAGCACCAGGAGGAAAUCAGGUGGCCGUUCCUACGACGUUUUGUUACGAAUCUUCAAGCAAAAACUACAUCCUCCGGUGGCACCAGCCCCGCCAAAGGGGCAACGAGGCUGCUGUGGAGCGAAGGCCCGGCGGGUCCGCGUCGCGCUCGGAGGAGGCGGGGCAGGGGGGCGGGGAGCGGCUCUCCGUCGGGUCCCAGGCCCGCGCCCGCAGGCACGCUUUCCGCGGAGCAGACGCCGCUCG
Molecule: long non-coding RNA, 3042 nt
Filed under: Canis lupus familiaris (dog)
Lineage: Eukaryota; Metazoa; Chordata; Mammalia; Carnivora; Canidae
Description: lncRNA (ENSCAFG00000052048.1)
Source: RNAcentral